Sebastes umbrosus (honeycomb rockfish) is the source of this 119-nucleotide long non-coding RNA. RefSeq lists it as uncharacterized. The transcript has 2 exons. NCBI's taxonomy places the organism in Eukaryota, Metazoa, Chordata, Actinopteri, Perciformes, Sebastidae. The record is from RefSeq and is a predicted model, not a curated record.
GCGAAUAUUAUAUGUCUAGGGCUUUUAUUGUGAAAGGCGCAACUCAACCAGUUCCGCACAACGUGAUUGGUUGAUGCCUUUAAUCACGGUGAGAAAGCUCCGAAAAAGCGACCUCAUUC